This 10570-nucleotide long non-coding RNA is filed under the name Populus tremula. RNAcentral's name for it is "long non-coding RNA (PTRE_LNC002264)". Lineage: Eukaryota; Viridiplantae; Streptophyta; Magnoliopsida; Malpighiales; Salicaceae. The record is from RNAcentral.
CUAAAACAAGAAAAUAAAUAAAUAAAAUACGGUAUCCAAUCAAAACCAUUUUCGACAUGUUCUCAGUUGUAGAUAAUGUAUGGAGCAUGGAAUGGAACAUUUCAUCGCAUGCCUAUCUAAUCCCAGAUACAGAAGACAGAACAAUUAUGCCACCAAUCACAAAACUCAAGAAGCAGCAAUCAGAUGAUAAUAAAGACAUCAAAUUGUUUAGCAAGCUCAAGUCCUAAGACAUGCACAUGCCAAGUUACAGGAAGGCAUCCUUCUCGAGCAACUUUAGCACCUCUUGCUGGUUGUUGAGUUUAGCAACGUCAAUGGGCGUCUUGCCAUCCAUGUUCUGAAGUGUACUGUAGUUUAACCCAAAGAGAGAUUCCAUCAUGACACGAAAAAUCACAUGAAGCCAUAAAGGGAGGGCAUUCCUAACUGAGAGCUAUUGACUUACACUGCAGCGCCAUUUUCCAGUAAAAGGGCCACACACUCCUUCCUUCCAUAACCAGCUGCAUAAUGCAGGGCCGUGUUCUUGUUCUUAUCCAGUGCAUCAACAGUUGCCCCAGCCUCCAGAAGAAUUUGGGCACACUUCACCUGAAACAAAUUGAAACCAGCUGCUUGUUGCUUACAAUAGCGAUUUGACCAAUUUGCAUAAAUUUUCAAUAAUGUCUGACGGCCCAAUGAUUCUGGGGCCCAAACCAAGAGGUCAGCUAUAGCUCACUGACCAAUCUAACAUCUAGCCUUUUAUCAUUGUAAGCCAGCUAGGGAGUUCAAAUUUUGCAAUGUGCCAUGGACAACUACCAAGUACCAGCACAGGUAUUCAUGAACUCUUUCUACCAGCAUACCAUAAUAGGUUCCUGAAGUCACCUCUAACGAUUACUUGUCUUUUGAUAAUAACAAAAAAGCCAAGAUCAACCGCUGAAGAGGGGAGGGGCAAAAAGCAAGAGUCUACACCACACAUAAACAACAGAGCAGUAGUUCAGAAAUAAUGAUACCUCCCCAUAUCCGCAGGAAAAAUGCAAUGCAGUUCUUCCCUCUGAAUCUUCUUCAUCCUUGUCAGCACCAGAGGCUAGAGCAUUUUUCAAACCCUAAUUGGAGAGUGCAGAUAAAACUUUGAGCUAAAUUUGCAAAAGGUAUCUCCAAUUGAUCUGACUUAAAUAGAUAGAACAGGGAAGCAUUGGAUAUUCACAUGGAGGCAAAAGAAAUUUUUAUUGAACAUCAACGGAGAAAAAAAAACGAUCCACCUCCUGCAGACUUUAGAGAAAUAUUGAAUUCUCCCAAUGUAGUCAAAAUGACCAAGCUAGCGGUCAUUGGACUUCUCUAAAAUGAACUAACUAGCAUUGUGCCAUGUUCAGAUAUUUACAACAGAAAUCGAAGAACAAUGAGGACCAUAAUAUCCAACAAACUAUUCACAAGAUUAAUGGGAACAUGAAGAACGAGUGCACAUGAAAGUAUGAUAAAAAUUAUAUAUAAUACACUAAAGUCAAGGGCCACAUAAAUGCUCUACAUCUUACCAAGUAAAGCAAUGUCACUAAAAUCUAUAGAGAUGAAAGAGCAAAACACCAACAUAAAAAUGAAAAUAAAGGUAUAUAUAUUCAGUGUUCCAUUCAGCAUUCACCAUGUGGUCUCCACAUUUAAACUAAUCCAAAGAUCAAGCUAAAAGUGUCAAGGAGCUUCAACUAAUUGCUAAAUGAACAUGAACGAGUCACGUAUCUACAGCUACCAACAAAGCUCAAAAUGUCAAAAGCUGUGCAUGGGCUUAAAAGAGAGUGAUGAGAAGAGACCAUCAAAGUCUAAGAAAGUUCCAGGGGUCAUCAUUGUCUAAUAAUGCUGACAUGACAGUAAGUCUUGUGGGGGUGUUGAAAUAGAAAUCUGUGCCUAUAUCGUCUCUCAUCAUAUCAAAUUGGGCACUCCUAAGUUAAAAAUUAAGUCCACAAAACAUUAGCAAAACACUUCCAUUAACAGUAAUUAGACAAUUUUCAAUACUUUCAGCCAGUCUAGGCUGCAAACGCUUUAACUGAUAGAUAAGACGCCAUACGUUUAAUGGGAAAGAAAAGCAAAAACAAUUUAAAUGAUGUAAUUAUAAAUAAAGGUGGCAUCCAUCAGGGGAAAAAUAGAUAAAGGUUAAGUGUGUCAAAUCUGCAAACAAGGCAGCAGGCAUUCAAAAGCGAAUUGUACCCUACCUCAGCAUCACCGACACUGGCACAGUGAUGGACAACUGAUUCAUCCUCAUUUCCUGCUUCUUCUGCUUCCUCGUGUCCAGAAGUUUCCACAGAAGUGCCUGCUUCUUCGGAAACCGCAAGACCCAUUGCUUCACCCAACUUCUGGAGAACGUCUUUAUCAUUCCAGUACCUAAGCAAGCAUAAUUUAGCUGUCAGUAAGUUGAGAAAAUAAAACUAACUUAAACGAUCCAUCUUUGCUAAUAUCAAGGCAGGAGAAACAUAGCAACAAUCUUCUAGUUUUUCCCCAUUUUUAUAAGCAAGUAAUAGUAAAAUACUAGAUAUUAUGAUUACUAACCUCAUCAUGGCAGCUGGACCACCGGACUCUAUCUCUUCUAAAAUAGGCUUUAAAGAAGGAUCUUCUCUUAUUCGUGUCAUUCGCUCCUCAAUCUGAUCCUUUUGUGAUGGGUUUGUGAAAUUCUCAAGCAUUUGAGACAUUGAUGGAUCCUGAGGAUUGAUAGGGAAAAAAUUAGCCUUUCAUCAGGACUUACAAUUAAACAAUGAAUAGGAACAUGAGACAAGCCAAAAAAAAACAGAUAUACCUGCAUUAAUGCAGUGCCAAGGUGCUCAGCCAUAGUCAUAAAUUGAGGAUUCUGCAUAACCUGUUGCAUGGUUGAAUAGUAUUGUUGAGUAUCAAAGUUAGGGAUAGCAUCUUCGGCUGUCGCACCUUGAAAAGUCUUCUGGAGCUGCUCUGCCAUCUGAUUGAAUGAAGGAUCUUUGGCUAUCUGCUCGGCUAACUCCUUGAUGCUCGGGUCCUACAUAUAUCAAAGCAUAGACAUCUAUAAACCCUUAGAUAAAUAUGGAAAAAUUGUUCAAUAUUAGAGUGAAGUAAUAACAAGUUCACAAAAUGAGCUUCAAUGUGAAAAUUGGAUUUAGCUUAGGACAUGUGGGCAUAUUAGAAGGCAAGACCUUCACUGCCAAAAAGACAGCUUACCUAAUGUUUGUACUCCGCAAAUGAAAUUGAAAACAAAGCAAAGAACCGAAGAGUGAAAAUUAGUAAAAGCAAUGGAAAUUGACAAACAUACAUUAAGCAGGCCAGUCAUAGCAGAGAAAUCAAAAGGAUUAGGAGGAAAUCCAGCAGCAGCAGCACCUCCCAGUCCUGGAGAUUGAGAAGGAGCUCUUCUUUGUUCCCCAGAGGUUGAGGAGGUUUCUGCUGAUUUAGAUGAGGAGUCUUUGCUGUUAUUUUCUGCAUCCGAAGCCGAACCUGUUUUCUCAUCUAAUAACAAAGCAAUUUGCGAUUCGAGUGAGCGAGUCAGUCGAGGUUAUCUCGCAACCACAAUAACAACAGCAGCAACGGAUCCAUCCAGGAAAUUGAAAGGACGGUAGAAAGCAUACCAGAUGGAAUAGUAGCAUCCUUGUUCGUGGUCGCCAUGACGAACAACAAGCUAAGCUUAAUGAAAAUUAUGCAAUCGAAGAAAGGAGAUGAUAGAUUUUUAUCUGAAGACGAUAGACAGAAGAAGAAAUCGAAUCGAAUCGAAUAAUUACUUUUUAUACAUAAACAAUAUUACUUUGCUAAUUAUAAAACUAGAAGUAGGUAGGACUAAGAGGAUUACCAGGCAGAAGCAGGCAAGCAAGGCAGAGUGUAUAAAUUGAUGGUUUCAAGAAAGGUAUCUGCCACCACACAGCUCAAGUAAGAAGAAGAAGAAGAAGAAGAAGCGUGCACGACGACAAGGAAAGGAUUUGAUGAAUUGAAUACAAACCAAGCUUAUUGUUAGUAGGCCAUCUCAAUCCUCAUCUUGUCAUCGAACCAGUGGCUUAUGUAUCGGUUACUGCCACCGCUGUCUUCCUUUUUUGUUUCUUUUCCUUACUAGCAGGCCCGAACCCGAUGACCGGAUUCAUGAAUCGAUGGGCCGACAAUAUUUGAGAUUGGGCCUGUGUACAUUUUCUGUUUACCCUUCACAGUUGCCUUCUUUUGCCUCAAUUUGAGUGUGAGGUGAAACAAUUUGAGUCUGCAUAUAUCUUUUUAUUUUACAUCGCACUAUACUUUUUAUUUUAUUUUUCUAGAUAUUUGAUUCCCUUUUCAAAUAAUUUAAGAUUUAUUUUUUUUAUUAAUUGAGUGUUUGGAAGUAUAUUAGCUUCUAUUUUUGAAUGGUUUUAAAAGUACAUUUUACUUUAAAAAAAAUCAAAUUAAUAUUUUGUUAGUUUUUUUCGAUAGUUUUAAUGUGUUGAUAUUAAAAAUAAAAAAAAAUAAAAAUAAAAUUUAAUAUAUUUUCAAGUAAAAAAUAUUUUAAAAAAGCACUGCACAAUACCCAAAUUAACUUGCUAUAUUAAAAUGAUUUUAAGUUAAAAAUAUAUCUAAUAAAAACUGACUAAAAGCAGUUUUUGUAAAAAAAAAAAAAUAUGAUUUAAUUUAAAAUUCAUAAGUUAAAAAUUAAAAAUUAACUUUUAAUUAAAUCAUAUUUUUACCCAAAUUUGUCAUAAAUUACAUUUCUGCUAAUGGUGAAACCUAACUCUUGUUUGAUGAUCAUUUCUUAGCACAACCAAGAUAACAUUCGUAUAAAAAAAUAAUAACCAUAACCUAUUUAUUAUUCAUCAUUGAAUUUAGAUUUUAAUAUCCAUACCCAAACCAUUAUAUUUUAAAUAUCCAUUAUCCAUCCAUUUUUUUUUAAAUGACAAUUAAAAUAUAAUUUAUAAAUUUUUUAGAAUAAAUGACUUUGGUUAAUCACAUGCAAACAAAAAUGUAUUAAAAUAUAAAUGCACCAUUAAAAAUAACCUCAUGAGUUAAAUAAUAAUAUAACUAUUCUUCAAACAUAUCAUGUUAAUGACAUAAACAAAUAAAUUAUUCCAACAUGGUACUAUGAAGAUAUUAGAAUAUGUGAGAAAUUAUAUAUAAUGGCAAAAUCAUAAUUAUAAAAUAUCAGGGUUUAAGAUUUAAUGAUUAAUAUAGACCGUUUGUUUAGGAGGUUGUGUAUGCGUUUGAAGCAAAAAGCAUGAGCAACCUGUUUGGUAUUGCCAAAACACAGUUUCCUGUGUACAUGAGACUCAUGCAAAUUUUAUUUAAACCGCAGGUUUGCGGAAAGCAGCUCUCAGGUGCUUUCCGCAAACCUACGGUGUCUAGUGGAGAGUGAAACUCCACUAUUCACAUGAACAGUGGAGUCACUUUCCACUGUUCCGGCCAGACCAGGUCUGAUCCAAAACUAAAUACACCGAACCAGGUCCGAUCCAGUUAAAAAAAAAUCAAUUUUUAUUUUUAAUUGUGUUUUAUUUAAAAAAAAUUAAAAGGAGAUAUCUUGAUGACAUAGCAUUUGUAAAAUUUGAUCGCAAUCCCAAUUUUAUUCCUAAUGAUAUUUUACCUUAUGGUGUUGCGUGCUUAAAAAACCAAGGAAAGUGUAGUCCUUGUCGGAUGGAUUUCGUACGUAAUGAAAUUAUAGAUCGUUUAAUGGAACAAUAAACAAUAUUUGAUAUCAGUAUUAUUUAUUUCAUGAUGUAAUAGCAGUAGUUAAAUCUACAAUAUUUAAAUUAAAAACCAUUAAUAUAUAUAUAUAUAUAUAUAUCAAUUAUUUUAUAAUCUUAAUUUCAACCAAAGUUUUAACCAAACAUAUAUAAAUACUAAAUCAACCUCAACCAAAAGAACUUUUUGUAAAACAAUUUUUUUUCAAAUCACAACCACAAAAAGGUACAAUAAUACCAAACACACAUGAUUAGCAGUUUCAAACUUUGAAUUUUGGGUUUUGAUUUAGAGGUUUUAAGUUGAGGGUUUGAGGUCGAGGGUCAAGAAUUCAGAAUUGAGGGGGUUUAGGGUUUUAAGAUUUGGAGUUCAAGGUUCAGAUUUAGGGUUUAACUAGCUAUUUGACCAGCGCUUCGUUGCAGAUCAAAUAUUGUUUUUCAAUAAAAACAAUUGAAUACGCAGAUUGUUUCGACAUGUUUUUUUACAAAAAAAAAAAGAUUCUUUAACAUUAACUAAAAAUAAAGCUGGAAAAUAGAAAGAUAGAUGUAGAACAAGAUAUUUGAUCUAGUAACAUGGGUCAUUUAUCAGGUUGUUUCUGAUGAAUUUAUUUAUUCAAAUCAAUUUUUUUGUAUUAAAUCAAAUGAUAAUAGAAACAAACAAACACAUAAAAUUGAUAGAAUGAAAUAAAAAAAAAAUACUACACAAGGCUGCACAUAUUAGAAAUAUUAUUCAAAAAUAAGUAUUUUUUUUAUUUUAAAAAAUAAAGUUCAUCUAUAUAAAAUGUAAAAAAAAAUUAGUUAUUGAUGAAUCCUAAUAAUCUCUUAAAAAAUUAAAUACAUAAAAAAUAAUUGUUAUUUAAGAAAAUCAAAACAAACAAAACAAAAAAUGAGAGAAUGAGUAUUAAUUGAAAUGUAAAUUAUAAAAUGAUAUAUAUAUAUAUAUAAAUUAUUAAUCUUUUUUAGGGAAAAUAAAAAAUGGAAAAAAAAGAAGAAGGAAGAAGCCAAACGUUAUUGGACCUAGCAAAUCAAGCCGGUGUGCAUGGCCUAUUAGAAAAGGAUCCGCGCUUGAAGACCUUAUUUUUUAAAACAUGCUGACAGGGAAUAACAUAAUGGUUUGAAUUGUUUUCAUCUUUAGACUAGUCUUUGAUUAUAUAGAAAAAGUUGUCUUGUACAUAUUAAUUACAAAGAGCAAAUCUAGGGAGCUAUAUAUGGUAAGGUAAAUUUUCUAUUUAUAUCUAGCAUUUACAACCUAUAUUUUAAUAGGUACAAAUAGAUGUAUGCUUGAUGUCAACCUUUCUAGUGAACUGUAUGCUACUUGAUCUCAACUUUUCUAUUGACAAGUUAAGGUAUCAAGCUAGUCAUAAAAAAAUGUAGGCAGGGGAAUGAAGAUUGAAAAGCCAAUUAAGGCCAAGAUAGAAUUGUUCAUACAGAGUAUAUGUUGGCUAAAAAAGAAGUAGAGAAGGCAGCUGGGGAGAAGGAUGUGUACAAGUUAUUUUUGUAUGAGGAAUACAAAGAGUUCUAAGAUACAAAACAAAUUACAAUGUAUCAAGGAUGAGAAUGUAAAGAUCUUGGUAUCAAGAAGAUGGAGAAAUUAUUUUGACUAGUUGUUUAAUGAGAUUUAAUUUGGAAACCUUGGAGAUCUCAUCCUAAAGGAAGCAAGAAACCUUAAGCAUAUAUAUAGGAUAUGGGUUUUGAAAGUAUUCAGGCUAUGAAGAAAUUAAGAUUCAAAAAUCUUUGCAGGCUUAACAAAAUAACUAUUGAAGUUUCAAGAUUCAUAGAAGUGAAAGUCAUAUGGUUGAUAAAAAUUAAAGUUUCCACCUUAAGCAUACAUGUGGGAUUUUUGGAAGUAUUGAGGUUCUGAAGGAAUUAAGAUUCAAAAACCUUUGUAGCCUUAACAAAAUAACUAUUAAAGUUUCAAGAUGUAUAGAAGUGGAAGUAAGUGGUUGACAUGCUGUUGAAUGAAACAUUAAAGAAGGCACUAGAUGACUAGAAAAAGUGUUUUGUUAUACGAGAUAAAGGGUAAUACUCGAGUUUCGUGUUCUAUUGUGGCAUUAAGGUUAUUUAUCACUUGAUGUAGCUAUGAGGAGAGUGACGGAGCAUAUAUUUUCUGAUCAGAAAAUCAAUUUUGUUUUAUGCUUGAGAGAUCGACUAUAGAGUUAUGUUUUUUUUUUUUAGUUUAAUAGAGAGAAACAGAAAUAAAAGAAACCUUUAUAUGCCUUUAAUUGGUUUCAAGAUGGAUUUUGUGAUGUGGCAUACGACAUAGAUAGAAGCUAGGGCUCUCAAGUUCUAAGGUUACAAACCUAAGUUAUAGAGAAAUUUAGAGAAAACUCUCUAAUGUUUUAUUAAGAGUUUAAAUAAUAAUCUACACUCAAAAUAAAUUAGGCAUCCUUAUUUUUAUUAGUGCUAAAAUCCUUUAUAGAAAAUGAUUCCCAAUUAAAACUAAAUCCUUUAUAAGAAAAGAUUCAUAAUUAAAACUUACCUAACUAAUAAAUCCAUCUAACAUAAAAAAAUUUAAAUAAUAAAGUAUUGAUUAAAUUAAAAGUCCUAAUGUAAUUAGGAACAAGAAUCAAAAUACAACAAGGAAUAUAAAUACAAUCAUGUACAAUAACUUCCGAGCCCUAUUUGAAUGCUUUCUAAUAUCCAAUCAUCAUGAAAUUUUAACUUAAUAGAAACAGGGCCUUCAAAAUCUUAUGUCAAAAUUUCAGAUCGAUGCAAUGGUCAGAUUAAAAGUUAUGCUUGAUUUACCGAAUUGUGUCUUAAACACUUCUUCAACUCGUCAAAAUCUAAAAACAUUAAUCGUUAAUGAAAUAAUGCAAUAAAUAUUUUUAUAUCAAAAAUAUUGAAGAAAUUUGCCCAUGUCAGUCCCCUUUAUUUCUGAAAAACUCGCUCUCGAGUUAUCCAUUGGACUCGACCACUGUAAAUAAAUAAAUACUUUGAAUAUAACAUUGUCACUAGUAUAUGUAUAAGAUAGAUUGUUCCAAAUAUCUUAAAUUCAAUUUUAGCAAAGAUAUAUUCACGUAAAAUUUCUAAAGACCCAAAAAAUCAACCUCACAUGAAAAAUUUCUUUUGAGUUGAUGGCAAUAUUAAUUGACGUGUUUGGUCAUCCCUCACAACAAUGUCUUGACCAUCGAUUUGAUUGGUAAUCUUAGAUGAUUGGUCCAACAAGAAUACGCUUGGUUUGGACAAUACACCCAUAUGUAAAUCAUCUUUGAUAUCAACUUUAGCCUCCUGGGCAAUUCUAACAACUUGUUCUGGCUUUUCUUUUAGUGCUUCGAGACCUUGAGAAUCACUACUUCAUGAGCUUCUUUGAUUUCUUCUUCACCAUUAGUAGAUGAAACAUCAAGUAAAGUAGUAGUUGCAGCAAUGUUGUGUUAUCAUUGUUGUGAUGUUAAAACUUUCCACUAUGAAUAGUCGACACCUUCUCCAUAAUUGUUUUCCUUGCUCGUUUAGAAAGUUGAACAAAAGAUAAAUAAUAACAAUCCAAUUGCUUAUCUAUCCAAUAUAAAAUCUCUUUAUAAUCAUCUUGUAUAAAUUUCAAAAUCAAAUUAAAAGGAUACUAAUAAGAGUUCUAAAGUCUAAAAAUUCUUAUUGAUUGUUUCAAAUCUUACCAAGAUCAAAUUAAAGGAAUACUAAUAAGAGUUCUAAAGUCUAAAAAUUCAAACCACCAUGCUCUAACACCAUAAGAAAGUGUGUACGGCAAGUCUUUUUUUUUUUUUUUUAUGAUAAAGAACCUUGUUGAAAUAAAAGUAAGCUUCCAAGUCUAAAGUCUGUUAACUACUUGAUAAAUUUUUUAUUAAAAAAUCUCUCAUUACAGAAUGGGAUCUCAUCAAAUUCAGGAAUAGGUUUGGGGUUGGCCUGCCUUGAGGUAAGUUCCUACCAUCUUCACAAUCUCUAUUUGCGUUAUCUAUUAGCUAAGCUAGAUUUGAUAUGGUUUGCUCCAAAUGAUCAAUCAUAUAUUUCAAGUGAUCUAAUUUUUGCUCUCGAGUCCAUAUAAUGCCCUGAAGAGCCUUCACUCCUGCAUCGUGGAGUGGGUUACUACUAUUUUCAUCCAUUAAAGAGGUGGAGUGGGUUACUACUAUUUUCAUCCAUUAAAAAGGCUAACCUACUUUGAUAAAAAUAAACACGGCAUAUAGCAUGGAUAGAAGUUAGGGUUAUCAAGUUCUAAGGUUAUAAACCUAGACUGUUUAGAAAAAAAAAAAAUCUCUAAUAUUUUAUUAAAAGUCUGAAUAAAAAUCCUCAAUCUUAAAAUAAAUUAAACAUUCCUAUAUAUAUUAGUUCUAAUAUCCUUUAUAGAAAAUAAAUCUCAAUUAAAACUAAAAUUCUUUAAAGAAAAUGAUUUAUAAUUAAAACUUACUAAACUAAAAAAUUCUAUCAAACAUUAUGAUUUUUAAAUAGCAAAGUACUAAAGAAAAUAAAAUUUCUAAUCUAAAUAGAAAAAAAAAUCCAAACAUAACAAAGGAAAUAAAAACAGUCCAGUAACUUCCAAUCCUUGUUUGAAUGCCUUUCCAGUCUCCAAUCUCCAGGUUUUUUUAAUCUUCUAUCACAAUUUCAAAAUAAUUUUAGUUUCGUAUCAGCAGUACUACCUCAGGAACACAAAAUGAAUGUUGGGAUUUGUUGAUGUUAAAACCCAGGCAUGGGAAGCUAAAACAAGAAAAUAAAUAAAUAAAAUACGGUAUCCAAUCAAAACCAUUUUCGAGAUGUUCUCAGUUGUAGAUAAUGUAUGGAGCAUGGAAUAGAACAUUUCAUCGCAUGCCUAUCUAAUCCCAGAUACAGAAGACAGAAUAAUUAUGCCACCAAUCACAAAACUUAAGAAGCAGCAAUCAGAUGAUAAUAAAGACAUCAAAUUGUUUAGCACGCUCAAGUCCUAAGACAUGCCAGGUUACAGGAAGGCAUCCUUCUCGAGCAACUUUAGCACCUCUUGCUGGUUGUUGAGUUUAGCAACGUCAAUGGGCGUCUUGCCAUCCAUGUUCUGAAGUGUA